Acanthosepion pharaonis is the source of this 106-nucleotide non-coding RNA. NCBI's taxonomy places the organism in Eukaryota, Metazoa, Mollusca, Cephalopoda, Sepiida, Sepiidae. The record is from the annotation of a GenBank genome assembly.
UUACGGCUAUAUCAUGUUGAAACACCGGUUCCCGUACGAUCACUGAAGUUAAGCAACGUCGAACAUGGUCAGUACCUUGAUGGGUAACCGCUUGGGAAUAGGAGGU